RNAcentral lists this ribosomal RNA (575 nucleotides) under uncultured archaeon. RNAcentral describes it as "bacterial SSU rRNA". It matches the Rfam family "Archaeal small subunit ribosomal RNA", at positions 571 to 1143 of the family's 1478-position model. The record is from RNAcentral.
GCCGCCGGGAAUACUGCAUAGCUAGGGAGUGGGAGAGGUAGACGGUACUCCGUAGGAAGGGGUAAAAUCCUUUGAUCUAUGGAUGACCACCAGUGGCGAAGGCGGUCUACCAGAACACGUUCGACGGUGAGGGAUGAAAGCUGGGGGAGCAAACCGGAUUAGAUACCCGGGUAGUCCCAGCUGUAAACUAUGCAAACUCAGUGAUGCAUUGGCUUGUGGCCAGUGCAGUGCCGCAGAGAAGUCGUUAAGUUUGCCGCCUGGGAAGUACGUACGCAAGUAUGAAACUUAAAGGAAUUGGCGGGGGAGCACCACAAGGGGUGAAGCCUGCGGUUCAAUUGGAGUCAACGCCAGAAAUCUUACCCGGAGAGACAGCAGGACGAAGGUCAAGUUGAAGCCUUUACCAGACAAGCUGAGAAGUGGUGCAUGGCCGUCGCCAGCUCGUGCCGUGAGGUGUCCUGUUAAGUCAGGUAACGAGCGAGAUCCUUGCCUCUAGUUGCCACCAUUACUCUCAGGAGUAGUGGGGCGAAUUAGCGGGACUGCCGUAGUUAAUACGGAGGAAGGAGAGGGCCACGGCA